AAAUGUAUCAAACUUAUAUUCUGAAAUACCCUUUUCUAAAUUGGGUUGAAAAUUCUUCUAAGAUUUGUGGAGUCCGUCAGGACGACUAGUAAGAUCAUAGGAUUACAGAAUGGGUUAGGCCUAUAUUCAUAAAUAUUCAGAAACAACUUUAGAGUAGACUUAGUGCUAUAGAAAAAGAAAUCUGUUGGUUCUUGCCAACACUAAAAAUAAUGGUAACUCUACUGAUAACGAGUCACAGUUCUUAAUGCACCAGAUACAGUAGAUACAAUAGUGAACGAUUCAUUUUCUCAAGGAGAAAAAGAGAGAAUAUCUCUCUUUGAUAGCGUGAUGAGUCUUAUAUAUGGAUAUAUUUAACUUUAUGGUUCAUAACGGAGUUGUCCACUUAGAACAAAGGACGAGGUAGAAUAGGAAAAUGAAAGAAGAGGAGUGGAAAAGGGGGGAGAACUAACUUGGUUGUGGUCAACGAUCUGACACCAACACGAUGGGCCACGGCCGUGACCACAGUCUGUUGCGCCGAUGUGAACCUUAUCUAGGAUCCGACCUUCCUACUCUUGGGAUGAGCAGAUCGGCUCCGUGUUCAUGAUCGGAGAGGAGGCUCUUUCUCUCACCCCUCCUCUCGGUGGUAACCCCAAUCUCUAUUUCUUCCACCUAGGAAGGAGGGGAAGAAGAGAGGCCAAGGAAGGGAAGAUGGGAGAGAUCGGUGAUGAUGGUCCUAAAUUUGGUGGUCGGAAACUUCGAAGAGGGAGGAUCAGGACGACGCGAGGCCCUCCUUCCUCUCGGCAGUGCUCGAGCCUCCAUCUCCCCCACCGGAGAUGGAGAGGAGAUCAAAAAAAAGAGAGGAGUGACCAGAAGAGACCCGAGAUGACAAGAAGUCUGAGUAGCAAAGUAAUACAAAUAAGAAGAGAUUUGACGUCUGUACGUACUGUGGCAGGACUCAUGGGGGAUCUUAUUUUAAGAAGAUGGGAAUCUGCUUCACUUGCCGUUGACAUGGACAUUUGGCAUGGGACUGUCCAAAUAAAAAGAAGAAUAAUUUGGAUU
Non-coding RNA from Phoenix dactylifera (date palm), 1038 nucleotides. NCBI's taxonomy places the organism in Eukaryota, Viridiplantae, Streptophyta, Magnoliopsida, Arecales, Arecaceae. The record is from RefSeq and is a predicted model, not a curated record.